GCCGCCGUAGCUCAGCGUGGCUGGAGCGCCGCCCUGGUAAGGCGGAGGACCCGGGUUCAAAUCCCGGCGGCGGCU
Molecule: transfer RNA, 75 nt
Filed under: Staphylothermus marinus
Lineage: Archaea; Thermoproteati; Thermoproteota; Thermoprotei; Desulfurococcales; Desulfurococcaceae
Also listed under: 1 other name
Description: tRNA-Thr
Rfam family: tRNA
About the family: Transfer RNA (tRNA) molecules are approximately 80 nucleotides in length. Their secondary structure includes four short double-helical elements and three loops (D, anti-codon, and T loops).
Source: RNAcentral